Molecule: ribosomal RNA, 443 nt
Filed under: uncultured bacterium
Lineage: Bacteria
Description: partial 16S ribosomal RNA
Rfam family: Bacterial small subunit ribosomal RNA
Source: RNAcentral
CCUACGGGGUGCAGCAGUGGGGAAUAUUGGGCAAUGGGCGCAAGCCUGACCCAGCAACGCCGCGUGAAGGAAGAAGGCUUUCGGGUUGUAAACUUCUUUUGUCAGGGACGAAGGAAGUGACGGUACCUGACGAAUAAGCCACGGCUAACUACGUGCCAGCAGCCGCGGUAAUACGUAGGUGGCAAGCGUUAUCCGGAUUUACUGGGUGUAAAGGGAGUGUAGGCGGGACGGGAAGUCAGAUGUGAAAACCACGGGCUCAACCUGUGGCCUGCAUUUGAAACUGUAGUUCUUGAGUACUGGAGAGGAAGGCGGAAUGCCUAGUGUAGCGGUGAAAUGCGUAGAUAUUAGGAGGAACACCAGUGGCGAAGGCGGCCUGCUGGACAGAAACUGACGCUGAGGCGCGAAAGCGUGGGGAGCAAACAGGAUUAGAUACCCCAGUAGUC